Molecule: non-coding RNA, 69 nt
Organism: Podarcis lilfordi (Lilford's wall lizard)
Lineage: Eukaryota; Metazoa; Chordata; Lepidosauria; Squamata; Lacertidae
Source: the annotation of a GenBank genome assembly
GUUGUAGCUCAGUGGUGGAGCAUCUGCUUUGGAUGCAGAAGGUGCCAGGAUCAAUCCCUGUCAUCUCCA